This 253-nucleotide ribosomal RNA is filed under the name uncultured bacterium. RNAcentral's name for it is "partial 16S ribosomal RNA". It matches the Rfam family "Bacterial small subunit ribosomal RNA", at positions 524 to 776 of the family's 1533-position model. The record is from RNAcentral.
UACAUGGGGUGCAAACGUUGCUCGGAAUUAUUGGGCGUAAAGCGCACGUAGGCGGCUUGUUAAGUCAGGGGUGAAAUCCUGGAGCUCAACUCCAGAACUGCCUUUGAUACUGGCGAGCUUGAGUUCGGGAGAGGUGAGUGGAACUGCGAGUGUAGAGGUGAAAUUCGUAGAUAUUCGCAAGAACACCAGUGGCGAAGGCGGCUCACUGGCCCGAUACUGACGCUGAGGUGCGAAAGCGUGGGGAGCAAACAGG